This 439-nucleotide ribosomal RNA is filed under the name uncultured bacterium. RNAcentral describes it as "partial 16S ribosomal RNA". It matches the Rfam family "Bacterial small subunit ribosomal RNA", at positions 338 to 795 of the family's 1533-position model. The record is from RNAcentral.
CCUAGGGGUGCUCCAGUGAGGAAUAUUGCACAAUGGGGGGAACCCUGAUGCAGCAACGCCGCGUGGAGGAUGACGCAUUUCGGUGUGUAAACUCCUUUUAUAUGUCAAGAAAAUGACGGUAGCAUAUGAAUAAGCACCGGCUAACUCCGUGCCAGCAGCCGCGGUAAUACGGAGGGUGCAAGCGUUACUCGGAAUCACUGGGCGUAAAGGACGCGUAGGCGGGUUGGAAAGUCAGGUGUGAAAUCCUACAGCUUAACUGUAGAACUGCACUUGAAACUUCUAAUCUAGAGUAUGGGAGGGGGAGAUGGAAUUAGUGGUGUAGGGGUAAAAUCCGUAGAUAUCACUAGGAAUACCCAAGGCGAAGGCGAUCUCCUGGAACAUUACUGACGCUAAGGCGUGAAAGCGUGGGGAGCAAACAGGAUUAGAUACCCGUGUAGUC